RNAcentral lists this ribosomal RNA (1345 nucleotides) under uncultured bacterium. Its description in RNAcentral is "bacterial SSU rRNA". It matches the Rfam family "Bacterial small subunit ribosomal RNA", at positions 28 to 1381 of the family's 1533-position model. The record is from RNAcentral.
GACGAACGCUGGCGGCGUGCUUAACACAUGCAAGUCGAACGAUGAAGCGGUGCUUGCACCGUGGAUUAGUGGCGAACGGGUGAGUAAUACGUGAGUGACCUACCUUUGACUCUGGGAUAAGCCUGGGAAACUGGGUCUAAUACCGGAUACGACCAAUCUCUGCAUGGGGUGUUGGUGGAAAGCGUUAUGGAGUGGUUUUAGAUGGGCUCACGGCCUAUCAGCUUGUUGGUGAGGUAAUGGCUUACCAAGGCGACGACGGGUAGCCGGCCUGAGAGGGUGACCGGCCACACUGGGACUGAGACACGGCCCAGACUCCUACGGGAGGCAGCAGUGGGGAAUAUUGCACAAUGGGCGCAAGCCUGAUGCAGCGACGCCGCGUGAGGGAUGACGGCCUUCGGGUUGUAAACCUCUGUUAGCAUCGAAGAAGCGAAAGUGACGGUAGGUGCAGAGAAAGCGCCGGCUAACUACGUGCCAGCAGCCGCGGUAAUACGUANGGCGCGAGCGUUGUCCGGAAUUAUUGNNGCGUAAGAGCUUGUANGCGGUUGGUCGCGUCUGCUGUGAAGGCCGGGGCUUAACUCCGGUUUUGCAGUGGGUACGGGCUAACUAGAGUGCAGUAGGGGAGACUGGAAUUCCUGGUGUAGCGGUGGAAUGCACAGAUAUCAGGAGGAACACCGAUGGCGAAGGCAGGUCUCUGGGCUGUAACUGACGCUGAGAAGCGAAAGCAUGGGGAGCGAACAGGAUUAGAUACCCUGGUAGUCCAUGCCGUAAACGUUGGGCACUAGGUGUGGGGGACAUUCCACGUUUUCCGCGCCGUAGCUAACGCAUUAAGUGCCCCGCCUGGGGAGUACGGCCGCAAGGCUAAAACUCAAAGGAAUUGACGGGGGCCCGCACAAGCGGCGGAGCAUGCGGAUUAAUUCGAUGCAACGCGAAGAACCUUACCAAGGCUUGACAUGCAUUAGAUCGCGUCAGAGAUGGCGUUUCCCUUCGGGGCUGGUGUACAGGUGGUGCAUGGUUGUCGUCAGCUCGUGUCGUGAGAUGUUGGGUUAAGUCCCGCAACGAGCGCAACCCUCGUUCUAUGUUGCCAGCGGUUCGGCCGGGGACUCAUAGGAGACUGCCGGGGUUAACUCGGAGGAAGGUGGGGAUGACGUCAAAUCAUCAUGCCCCUUAUGUCUUGGGCUUCACGCAUGCUACAAUGGCCGGUACAGAGGGUUGCGAUACUGUGAGGUGGAGCUAAUCCCUUAAAGCCGGUCUCAGUUCGGAUUGGGGUCUGCAACUCGACCCCAUGAAGUCGGAGUCGCUAGUAAUCGCAGAUCAGCAACGCUGCGGUGAAUACGUUCCCGGGCCU